This 27-nucleotide non-coding RNA is filed under the name Rattus norvegicus (Norway rat). Lineage: Eukaryota; Metazoa; Chordata; Mammalia; Rodentia; Muridae. The record is from RNAcentral.
UGAGGCUACUGUGCUACAGCAAACAGA